GGAGCGACAGUGCGCACGGCUGACCAGAAGGAUGGAAUAGCGUUACCGUUUCGAAGAUAAACAAGCUUUCUCCGGGAGCCCCUGUGAAUAUAACGAGGCCGGCGAAGGAGUCCAAGCUGUUUGAUGACUGAAAUACACGAUGGAGUAGUGCAGUUGUUGAACUUCCUCAGCUGGUCAACGGAAUAGUUCAACAUCGUGCCGAUCCCAGGAAAACUCAUCCACCGUUCACCACCGGCCGCAGACGCGAUGGUAUUCUGAUGGAAACCUGUUUACCCGCCGAGGUUAAGGAUUAAAGUCGAGACUGCCGGGACAACGAUGCUGCUCCUGUCAGAUGUGACGGGUCUGGAGUAAUUGCAACGACAAGAAAUCACUACAGACUUUAUUGAAGACUAGAGCGGAUAACAACUCUAUUAUUAUUUAAUUGUUUAUUUAUCUAUUUAUUACCAGUUAUGACUUUUAGAUCAUUUAAUUCUGUGUUUGUAUGAUUUGUGUAAAUCGUGUAUUUACUUAAAGUAUCCUCCAGGCCACCCAAGAAGGAUGGGCCCUGCUGAGUCUGGUUCCUCUCAAGGUUUCUUCCUGUAAUUUUCAGGGAGUUUUUCCUUGCCACAGUCGCCCUCGGCUUGCUCAACAGGGGUUUUUGUAUCUGUUGGUCCUGGAUUUUGUAAAGUUGCUUUGAGACAAUGUCUAUUGUAAAAAGCGCUACAUGAAUAAAGUUGACUUGACUUGACUUGACACCGAGCAAUGCCAUUUUAGCGGCAGUCAAGCUCGAAGAAGUGUAUUGAGCACGUUUCUAUAGUA
Molecule: long non-coding RNA, 798 nt
Organism: Trichomycterus rosablanca
Lineage: Eukaryota; Metazoa; Chordata; Actinopteri; Siluriformes; Trichomycteridae
Exons: 2
Source: RefSeq, a predicted model, not a curated record